Molecule: ribosomal RNA, 207 nt
Filed under: uncultured bacterium
Lineage: Bacteria
Description: partial 16S ribosomal RNA
Rfam family: Bacterial small subunit ribosomal RNA
Source: RNAcentral
CGCGUAGGCGGUUUGUUAAGUCGGAUGUGAAAGCCCCGGGCUCAACCUGGGAAUUGCACCCGAUACUGGCCGACUAGAGUGCAGGAGAGGGAGGUAGAAUUCCACGUGUAGCGGUGAAAUGCGUAGGUAUGUGGAGGAAUACCGGUGGCGAAGGCGGCCUCCUGGCCUGACACUGACGCUGAGGUGCGAAAGCGUGGGGAGCAAACA